Molecule: long non-coding RNA, 1170 nt
Filed under: Anas platyrhynchos platyrhynchos (common mallard)
Lineage: Eukaryota; Metazoa; Chordata; Aves; Anseriformes; Anatidae
Description: lncRNA (ENSAPLG00000027440.1)
Source: RNAcentral
UUCAUUUUGUGGGAGAGGACUAGAUUGUAUAAACACAUUUACAUAUGCCAGAUACAAAUGCAGGACAUUAUUCGCCCCUUAUUAACAGUACAUUCUGCUAGUGUCAAGAAGAGGCUUACAGAAAGAUAUAAAGUAUCAUCAUCAAAUAGUAACUAAUGGUUUAGUAAACAUCAUUAUUAUUUCAUAUACAGCAUAACCUGAUAGAAAAAAAUGUAAACUUUAAAGCUACAGUUCUGUGUUCUGUAUUUCGCCUUGUUUGUUCUCCUUUCAACUUCCCUAUCAGCUUUUAACAUCAAUCAAAAAAUCCAUCCUUUUCCAGAUGAAUAAUGAUCUCCUGCUGACUGUCAUGUCUGUCUGAAGAACAAGAAAUGUGAUGAAGCUGACUGACCCUGUGGCACCUCUUUUCUCUAGAGCACAUAUCAUGGAUAUUCAGGUGCUUUUACCAACAGUUACCUAUGAAAAUGUUUGCGGAAAGCAGAGGACUGUGAGUAGGAUCAAAUUUUUUAACAUAGUAGAACAUGGAGUCCUGUUUCUCUUUAUUUGUUCACUCCUUUCACUUCACUACUUUGGUCCCUCUCUAAGGGUUGGGAAGGCUCAUCCUGCUGCAAUGAGCCAAGCUGAAAUGGUGUCACUCGGGGCACUUGCUGGAGCAGGCUGUCCUUGUGGCAGCCCUGACUUUGAUGGCAGAGUAUUAACUGUUAGGGAGUGGAGGAGGGAUCAGAACACGAGGUAGGCCAGCUGCCAGCUACACUAAAAUUACUCCUGUAACCACUCCAAUAUGUGUACCAGAAUUUAGGGACUCCGAUAUAUUCAGACGGAACAGUUUUACACAAAGGGUAGUUGAAAUACAGUCUGGAACAAACUGCCGAAGUCAGCAGUAGAAGCAAAUAGUGUAAAUCAGUUCAAGGAGGAGUUUUUGAAGAAGGCAAGGGGAAGGGCAUAGAGCUACUAGCAAGAAGUUCAAGUUUCAUGUGAUGGAACACAGAUUGAUUUGUAUUUCCUGAGGUUAUGAGGGCAGGUCUUCAUGGACUGUAUCAUCCUCUUUGGGCUGCUUAAUGUUUGCAUGUGCUUUCAUGCUGUGUUUCAUUCUCUUUCAGUUCAGAAAUGCAUUUUUUUUUUUCUUCUUGGUCCUACAGUCUCAAUAAAUAACAUGUUGCUGAGUAUAAUGCA